CAGGAUUACUAGAAACUUCCAAGCAGGUGUGAUUUGGAGCUGGUUGGAGCUAAACUCUGCAGAGCUGUGGCCCUCUAGGAAUUGAGUUUGAGACCAUUGGUUUAUAGGCACAUAAGCACUUCUAAUCACAUCCUGCUCCAGUGAGACCAACUGCCAUUGAGAUGAAUGGAGAUGCUAACGGCUAACAGCUUCCUUCAGGUUAUUGUACUGGGACUUUAUUUCCCACGAGUUGCACCUGCUGUCGCCUCUGGAGCUCACUGUGGGUUCAGUGCUGAUGGAACGCAGAGCGGACGCAGCCUGACAUCUGAGAACGCUGAGAGCUCACGUCUAAAAGAACACAAGGAUUACCUUUAUUUUCAUCCACCCAGUGGAUCAUUUCGUAGAGAUGUGCAGAAGUGAUCUGAAAGUUAAACGUACUGUAGCUGUCAUAAACAGUGAUAAGGGGCUGUAAUUCCUGAAGAAAAUCUAAAUCGCCUCACUGGGAGUUAGUCACCUGGAUACUUGGAAGUACGUAGUUUGAAAUCCGUCAUUGUUGUGAUGGACACUCAUCUCUGGACGCUUAGCUCGGGACACACUGUUUUGCUGAGCCCAUCAGCUGACUGUGAAUGUCUUAUUGAAUUCUGAGUAAUUAAUGCAUCCGUUGUCUUCAGUGGAGAGGAGGAGAGGCAGCAGGACGUGAGUGAGAUGAAGCCCUCUGACAGGAUGUUUAUGAGGUGUCAGUUUGCGUUUGGAUCAGAGGAGCUGAUGGGGGCGGAGAGGGAGACGCUUGGCCUGUAUGGAGCUCAACUGCGUGACCCAUUUGCUCUGUUUGGAUCGGUUCAGUGGUGUUGUGACGAGGUGCUCUGGAUGCCGUUCCAAUCCUCGGAUCUGGAUCUCGCUCCCUGACAUGGCAGAGCAUGAGUCAGCUGUCAAGCGCACAAACACGCGUGUUCACCGUCGGCCAUGUGUGCAGCAUGAGGCCAGCGCUGAAGAACCUGAUGCUCACUCAAGAACUGUAUUUCAGUGAUGGUCAUGGUAAACUUUUAGGAAUAUUGCUUAAAGCCACUUCGAGCACUAAACGACCUGUUGUAUCUAAAGUGGCUGCAGUUCAUGGACUUUUCUUUUGUGCUGUUGGCAUAAUACGGGUCUAUUGUGGACACAGACAUACAAUUUGUAUUGUACCCCAAUUUUUGUACCCAACAGUGAGGUCACAUUAGCAAAGUAAGAAGGUCCAUUGUCUGUUAUGAAUAGUGUAGCAAUUCUUAGUUUGGAAGUGACUUACUCAGAGGUCACUUCCAAACGAAACAGUUUUACAUUGUGACAAAUUCACAUGUUUAGAGUUUAAGAUACAUGAAUCCGAUGCGAAAUCUGUGUUGGAAAUUUUUCACCAGUGUGCAGUCACAAUAGCAAACUUUCAGCAACCCAGCUUGAUGAGCACUUUUUUUGCGUUUUAUGAUGUCAUUUUCUAAACAAGUUGGGCUGCAUUGUAUUUAAAAAACUGCACAUCUUUUUUUAAUUAUUUCAAUAAAUCACUUGUUUUUCUAAAGAAACAUUGUUCAACAGCGACA
Cyprinus carpio carpio is the source of this 1547-nucleotide long non-coding RNA. The record is from Ensembl. NCBI's taxonomy places the organism in Eukaryota, Metazoa, Chordata, Actinopteri, Cypriniformes, Cyprinidae.